This 491-nucleotide ribosomal RNA is filed under the name uncultured bacterium. RNAcentral's name for it is "partial 16S ribosomal RNA". It matches the Rfam family "Bacterial small subunit ribosomal RNA", at positions 29 to 506 of the family's 1533-position model. The record is from RNAcentral.
AGUGAACGCUGGCGGUAGGCCUAACACAUGCAAGUCGAACGGCAGCACAGUAAGAGCUUGCUCUUACGGGUGGCGAGUGGCGGACGGGUGAGGAAUACAUCGGAAUCUACUUUUUCGUGGGGGAUAACGUAGGGAAACUUACGCUAAUACCGCAUACGACCUACGGGUGAAAGCAGGGGAUCUUCGGACCUUGCGCGAUUGAAUGAGCCGAUGUCGGAUUAGCUAGUUGGCGGGGUAAAGGCCCACCAAGGCGACGAUCCGUAGCUGGUCUGAGAGGAUGAUCAGCCACACUGGAACUGAGACACGGUCCAGACUCCUACGGGAGGCAGCAGUGGGGAAUAUUGGACAAUGGGCGCAAGCCUGAUCCAGCCAUACCGCGUGAGUGAAGAAGGCCUUCGGGUUGUAAAGCCCUUUUGUUGGGAAAGAAAAGCAGCAGGUUAAUACCCCGCUGUUCGGACGGUACCCAAAGAAUAAGCACCGGCUAACUUCGU